This 148-nucleotide non-coding RNA is filed under the name Pan troglodytes (chimpanzee). Lineage: Eukaryota; Metazoa; Chordata; Mammalia; Primates; Hominidae. The record is from Rfam by way of RNAcentral.
GCUGGGUGUGGUGGCGGGCACCUGUAAUCCCAGCUACUCAGGAGGCUGGGACAGGAGAAUUGCUUGAACUCAGGAGGCGGAGGUUGCAGUGAGCCGAGGUCACGCCACUGCACUUCAGCCUGGGUGACAGAGUGAGACUCCGUCUCAA